UUUAAGAGAAAAGCUGUGGGAAUUGAAAUCGCUGGAAGUGCCCUGAGGGUGGAAUCACCCAAGGCUUUUGGAACUUGCAACCAGAUUGCUUCAGAUGCUGAGUGUAGAACUCUAGGACUUAAUGUUUGCCCUGCUGGAUGUUGGAAUUGCUUUGUUUCAAAUGCUUUCUGUUCUCCUGUUUUUAACUUUUGGAAUGGUAAUGUUUAUCUUGUGCCUUUGCAUUUCAGAAAUGUUUAACCUUGUUUCUUUUGUACAGGGGCUUACAGUUAAGGGUUUGCCAUAGAUCUUGGAGGAGUCUUGGGACUUGGACUUUUCAGCAAUGUUGAAGCUGUUAGGACUUUGGAAACUCUUGGAGGUGGACUAAAUGUCUUUUGUAUAAAGGAUUUACAUGAGUCCUGGGGGUCAGGGGUGGAAUGUCAUGGUUUAUGUUUGUGUCCCCCAGGACUCAUGAGUUUGCAUUGUUCACAUGUGAUGGUUCAUUGUAUAGUGCUUGGAUUGAUGAUGUCAGUGCUUAACCCACAUAGGGGUGGAGCCAGGAUGUGAUGUAAUGGCAGGAAGAAGGUGUGUUUUUCUCUUUGCUGGUUUGAGUUUGCUGUGGGUGGCCGACAUGAACUGCGGUCCAGCCAUGCCUGCCUGUCUUGGAGCCAACUGAGUGUGGACUGAAACCUCCAAAAACUGGGCACCAACAUUUAAUCCAGAUGUUUGCUUGUGUCAGUAAAACUUUCUUCAUGUGGAGGUUUGAAUGAUUACUAGCUCAUCAACUCCAAGCAACUGCUUACAAACAGACUGAACAAACAGACAACUGAUAUAUGGACGGACUGAAGAACAUCUCAAAAUAUCAGAGUGUACUUGAGCAUAUCCUUAAGCUCAAUUACAAUACCCUCUAACAAAGUUAGAGUCUAUAAUUAUAAAACAAUCAGUUGAAUUUUUUAUAGACCAACUAGCUGAGAUCCUGUAUAAAAGGAAUUGAGGCUUG
Long non-coding RNA from Cavia porcellus (domestic guinea pig), 976 nucleotides. RefSeq lists it as uncharacterized. NCBI's taxonomy places the organism in Eukaryota, Metazoa, Chordata, Mammalia, Rodentia, Caviidae. The record is from RefSeq and is a predicted model, not a curated record. The transcript has 3 exons.